RNAcentral lists this transfer RNA (78 nucleotides) under Methanothrix sp. RNAcentral describes it as "tRNA-Glu". It matches the Rfam family "tRNA". Rfam says of the family: Transfer RNA (tRNA) molecules are approximately 80 nucleotides in length. Their secondary structure includes four short double-helical elements and three loops (D, anti-codon, and T loops). Lineage: Archaea; Methanobacteriati; Methanobacteriota; Methanomicrobia; Methanotrichales; Methanotrichaceae. RNAcentral also lists the same sequence under 2 other names. The record is from RNAcentral.
GCUCCGGUAGUGUAGCUCGGCCAAUCAUGAAGGACUCUCACUCCUUCGACUAGGGUUCAAAUCCCUACCGGAGCACCA